AGCUUUCGCGGUAUGGGAUGGGGUCGCGUCCUAUCAGCUUGACGGCGGGGUAACGGCCCACCGUGGCUUCGACGGGUAGCCGGCCUGAGAGGGCGACCGGCCACAUUGGGACUGAGAUACGGCCCAGACUCCUACGGGAGGCAGCAGUGGGGAAUAUUGCACAAUGGGCGCAAGCCUGAUGCAGCGACGCCGCGUGAGGGAUGGAGGCCUUCGGGUUGUAAACCUCUUUUAUCGGGGAGCAAGCGAGAGUGAGUUUACCCGUUGAAUAAGCACCGGCUAACUACGUGCCAGCAGCCGCGGUAAUACGUAGGGUGCAAGCGUUAUCCGGAAUUAUUGGGCGUAAAGGGCUCGUAGGCGGUUCGUCGCGUCCGGUGUGAAAGUCCAUCGCUUAACGGUGGAUCCGCGCCGGGUACGGGCGGGCUUGAGUGCGGUAGGGGAGACUGGAAUUCCCGGUGUAACGGUGGAAUGUGUAGAUAUCGGGAAGAACACCAAUGGCGAAGGCAGGUCUCUGGGCCGUUACUGACGCUGAGGAGCGAAAGCGUGGGGAGCGAACAGGAUUAGAUACCCUGGUAGUCCACGCCGUAAACGGUGGAUGCUGGAUGUGGGGCCCGUUCCACGGGUUCCGUGUCGGAGCUAACGCGUUAAGCAUCCCGCCUGGGGAGUACGGCCGCAAGGCUAAAACUCAAAGAAAUUGACGGGGGCCCGCACAAGCGGCGGAGCAUGCGGAUUAAUUCGAUGCAACGCGAAGAACCUUACCUGGGNCUGACAUGUUCCCGACGGUCGUAGAGAUACGGCUUCCCUUCGGGGCGGGUUCACAGGUGGUGCAUGGUCGUCGUCAGCUCGUGUCGUGAGAUGUUGGGUUAAGUCCCCGAACGAGGGGCACCCUCGCCCCGUGGUGCCAGCGGAUUAUGCCGGGAACUCCCGGGGGACCGCCCGGGGUUAACUCGGAGGAAGGGGGGGAUGAAGUCAAAUCAUCAUGCCCCUUACGUUCAGGGGUUUAGGCCUGCUAACAGUGGCGGGACAACCGGAAUGCAACCCGGCACACCGGAAGGGAACCCUGGAAACCG
This 1067-nucleotide ribosomal RNA is filed under the name human gut metagenome. Its description in RNAcentral is "bacterial SSU rRNA". It matches the Rfam family "Bacterial small subunit ribosomal RNA", at positions 205 to 1285 of the family's 1533-position model. The record is from RNAcentral.